UGGCUCUCGCAACGAUGAAGAACGCAGCGAAAUGCGAUAAGUAAUGUGAAUUGCAGAAUUCAGUGAAUCAUCGAAUCUUUGAACGCACCUUGCGCCCUUUGGUAUUCCGAAGGGCACACCUGUUUGAGUGUCAUUAAUCUCUCAACCUUGCCAUUUUUUUUAAUUAAAGUGUCAGUGGUUGGAUGUUGAGUGUUGCUGGACAUUUUUGCUUCAGCUCACUUUAAAUUUAUGAGCAGGCUCCUACCAUUUUGGACUGACUCAACGUGAUAAGAAAUUUUGUUGAGGACACUUUACAGUGGCCAAGUUGUAGGGAAUUGCCGCUACUAGUUGACUUUUAUAUUUUAGACCUCAAAUCAGGUGGGACUACCCGCUGA
RNAcentral lists this unclassified non-coding RNA (374 nucleotides) under uncultured fungus. RNAcentral's name for it is "partial contains 5.8S ribosomal RNA and internal transcribed spacer 2". The stretch from base 1 to 133 matches the Rfam family "5.8S ribosomal RNA", at positions 22 to 154 of the family's 154-position model. Lineage: Eukaryota; Fungi. The record is from RNAcentral.